Pogona vitticeps (central bearded dragon) is the source of this 665-nucleotide non-coding RNA. The record is from RefSeq and is a predicted model, not a curated record. Lineage: Eukaryota; Metazoa; Chordata; Lepidosauria; Squamata; Agamidae.
AGAAACACCUCCCCCUCGCUCUCGGGAGGUUGCAUUUCUAGACGACUGUUGUGCUCUUGCGGAGCACGUUGCCCUUCUGGCCAACGCCGAUCGCGUUGCUUUGGAUUCCCUGGCUUCGGAGGUGGGGUAGGGUGGGGGGGCACGCUCUUCAGGCGGAAAGCACCCCACGCUGGCUGCCCUCGCUCGUUAGCCUCCAUCUGCGUUGGUCCCGCCAUACAUGUGUGCCUCUGUGUACGGACUUUGGGAAAAGCGAGAGAAAGUGAGAUUUGGAUAUACCGUAUACAAAUAUACCACUGUCUAUAAGCGAAGGGGCCAGGCGGAUGGCGGAUGGCAACUGAUUCCGUAGCUGAGGAGAGACCGCCAAGAAGGCCCAAUUUCUUGUUUUCUCUUUCCUGGUCUCUCUCAGGUUCAUCAUCCUGAACUGUCCUGCUUGGGAAAACCAAUCUUUCCUCUUUUUUCGGACAAAGAAUUUCCAUUCUACCGUCUCCACUACUUACAAGAAGAGUGACCCUGUGUCCCAUUCAUAGAGAACCAUCUUGUAUUGGAAGGCAGCCUCUAUAUUGAAAACUGACCAGUUUUAAAGUAAGAAGGGGGGACCAAGAGCCUGGAAAUUGCUUGUUAACAAUGAGCUUCUAGACAGCAGUCUAAGCAAGCACACAGAUAUG